CUGGUUGAUCCUGCCAGACCCGACUGCUAUCGGAUUGGGACUAAGCCAUGCGAGUCAACUCCGCAAGGGGUGGCGCACGGCUCAGUAACACGUAGUCAACCUACCCUGGGGACGGGGAUAACCUCGGGAAACUGAGGCUAAACCCCGAUGGGCCAUGGCUCCUGGAAUGGGCUAUGGCUGAAAUCUACAUGGCCCCAGGAUGGGACUGCGGCCGAUCAGGUUGUUGGUGGGGUAAUGGCCCACCAAGCCUAUAACCGGUGCGGGCUCUGAGAGGAGGAGCCCGGAGAUGGGCACUGAGACAAGGGCCCAGGUCCUAUGGGGCGCAGCAGGCGCGAAACCUCCGCAAUGGGCGAAAGCCCGACGGGGUCAGUCCGAGUGGUUCCCGCUGAGGGAACCUUUUGCCAGCUGUAAACAGGCUGGCGAAUAAGGGGUGGGCAAGUUUGGUGUCAGCCGCCGCGGUAAUACCAGCACCCCGAGUGGUCGGGACGAUUAUUGGGCCUAAAGCAUCCGUAGCCGGCCCAGUAAGUCCUCCGUUAAAUCCAACGGCUCAACCGUUGGGCUGCGGGGGAUACUGCUGGGCUAGGGAACGGGAGAGGCGAGGGGUAUUCCCGGGGUAGGGGUAAAAUCCACUGAUCCCGGGAGGACCACCAGUGGCGAAGGCGCCUCGCUAGAACGUGCCCGACGGUGAGGGAUGAAAGCUGGGGGAGCGAACCGGAUUAGAUACCCGGGUAGUCCCAGCCGUAAACGAUGUAGGCUCGGUGUUGGGCUGCCUCAGUGGCAGCCCAGUGCCGCAGGGAAGCCGUUAAGCCUACCGCCUGGGGAGUACGGCCGCAAGGCUGAAACUUAAAGGAAUUGGCGGGGGAGCACCAC
RNAcentral lists this ribosomal RNA (870 nucleotides) under uncultured archaeon. Its description in RNAcentral is "bacterial SSU rRNA". It matches the Rfam family "Archaeal small subunit ribosomal RNA", at positions 4 to 882 of the family's 1478-position model. The record is from RNAcentral.